UACGGGGGGGGUAAGCGUUGUUCGGAAUUACUGGGCGUAAAGGGCUCGUAGGCGGCCAACUAAGUCAGACGUGAAAUCCCUCAGCUUAACUGGGGAACUGCGUCUGAUACUGGAUGGCUUGGAUUCGGGAGAGGAAUGCGGAAUUCCAGGUGUAGCGGUGAAAUUCGUAGAUAUCGGGAGGAACACCCGUGGCGAAGGCGGCUUCCUGGUCCGACACCGACGUUCAGGCACGAAAGCGUGGGGAGCAAACAGG
RNAcentral lists this ribosomal RNA (253 nucleotides) under uncultured bacterium. RNAcentral describes it as "partial 16S ribosomal RNA". It matches the Rfam family "Bacterial small subunit ribosomal RNA", at positions 524 to 776 of the family's 1533-position model. The record is from RNAcentral.